This 682-nucleotide ribosomal RNA is filed under the name uncultured Bacilli bacterium. Its description in RNAcentral is "bacterial SSU rRNA". It matches the Rfam family "Bacterial small subunit ribosomal RNA", at positions 63 to 732 of the family's 1533-position model. Lineage: Bacteria; Bacillati; Bacillota; Bacilli. The record is from RNAcentral.
AACGCUGAAGGAGGAGCUUGCUUCUCUGGAUGAGUUGCGAACGGGUGAGUAACGCGUAGGUAACCUGCCUGGUAGCGGGGGAUAACUAUUGGAAACGAUAGCUAAUACCGCAUAAUAGUAGAUGUUGCAUGACAUUUGCUUAAAAGGUGCAAUUGCAUCACUACCAGAUGGACCUGCGUUGUAUUAGCUAGUUGGUGGGGUAACGGCUCACCAAGGCGACGAUACAUAGCCGACCUGAGAGGGUGAUCGGCCACACUGGGACUGAGACACGGCCCAGACUCCUACGGGAGGCAGCAGUAGGGAAUCUUCGGCAAUGGACGGAAGUCUGACCGAGCAACGCCGCGUGAGUGAAGAAGGUUUUCGGAUCGUAAAGCUCUGUUGUAAGAGAAGAACGAGUGUGAGAGUGGAAAGUUCACACUGUGACGGUAUCUUACCAGAAAGGGACGGCUAACUACGUGCCAGCAGCCGCGGUAAUACGUAGGUCCCGAGCGUUGUCCGGAUUUAUUGGGCGUAAAGCGAGCGCAGGCGGUUAGAUAAGUCUGAAGUUAAAGGCUGUGGCUUAACCAUAGUACGCUUUGGAAACUGUUUAACUUGAGUGCAAGAGGGGAGAGUGGAAUUCCAUGUGUAGCGGUGAAAUGCGUAGAUAUAUGGAGGAACACCGGUGGCGAAAGCGGCUCUCUGG